CAGAGAAUAGUUAAAGUUAAAAUAUAAUAUUAGUUUUGGGGACUAUUGUUGGGGGCAACCUCUUCUCUGA
This 70-nucleotide transfer RNA is filed under the name Cylindraustralia sp. HS-2014. RNAcentral's name for it is "tRNA-Pro". The record is from RNAcentral. Lineage: Eukaryota; Metazoa; Arthropoda; Insecta; Orthoptera; Cylindrachetidae.